UGGGCAUGUGCACCAACCAGGAAUCGAAUCGUGACCUCCUGGUUCAUAGGUCCAUUGAAACACACCGGCCCGGCUGGCCUCUGACUUCUGCCCCUUAGUUCCUUCUGCCCAGGUCCUAAGGCUUUUAAAAUAGCUUCCAGGCGUUUGGCUUACUUCCAGAAGUCCACCUGGGCUGCUCCGCAGGGGCUGUCCGGGGAACCCCUUCUAUGUGAGGCAGAUGUGAAGGGCGUGGGUGUGGGAAGGCUCCUUGGAGAUGAAUCAGCGCUGCCUCCUCCAGGGUAAGUCAGGUGCAGGGCAUGGCAAGGGCUGGUCUACAGGAACAAGAGAAAGGGAAAGAGAGCAAGGAGAAGCUUGUAAUGACAUAUCGCAACCACCAGGGGGCAUGAAUCAUGUAGGCAAAAAACCAGCAGCUGCUGGUGGAAAAUCUCUGGUGUGUGUGUGUGUGUGUGUGUGUGUGUGUGUGUGUGUGUGUGUAUGUGUGUGUUGGACAGACUGUGAGGACCCGGCUUCUUAGGCUGGGCGGCUUCUUAGGCUGGGCAUGGGCAGAGUCAUUCUGGGAAUAUGCCACUGCCUGCCUUCGUGGAGAAGUGGAAAAUCAAGAGGGGGAUUGGGUUUUAGGGUUGGCUCUAUUCAACCUUCCGGUUCUGCUGAGGGGAGGGAGUGGCUCCAGAUCACACAGCGAGUUAAUGGCAAAUUAAUGUGAUCGUCACCAGUCUCAGUCACAUGGCCACUUGAUGGGCACCCUUUGGCUUCCAUUUCUAGGUUAGGGACAAGUCUCUAGAUGGGGCUUUAGGAAUCAGUGGCUCUGCUUCUGUCCGUCAGGAUGUCUGUCUGUCUCUCUCAUCUUAUUUCCUUCUCCCUCACGUUUUCUUUGUUACUGUGACUAUUUUCCUCUGAUCUUUCCUCCCAGUUUCCAUCCGACUGCCUCUGUGUUUCUCCUUCCUGUCUCCAUCUCUCCCUGAUGGGAGUUUGCUCAUUGGUCCCUGGAGUGAGAUGUUUCCUGCAGUCUCUCCUCGGGGGGUUGUAGCUCUCUGACGCUCUGGUUUCCAACCCAGUGUCCCAGUCUCUUCUCCUGGGAACCAGAAAAGAAACUGUGACUUGGGAGCAUGACUUGAGGAGGUCAGAAGGCCUCCAGCCUCCUAAAUACUGUCCCUAGUGCCCCCUCCCCCAUUGCCACGCAAUACCUAUAAACACGGGUUGGCACCUGGUGUGGGAGAAGCCCUUUGCUCAUGCAGAAAUGAGUAAGACCCAGUCCCCGCCCAGUGAGCUCACCGUGUGGGGGUGAAGGCAAGAGAAGACAAGUGAUCCCAUCUAGAGAAGAAUGCUCUAAGCACACAAGGACAAAAGGAGUGCUUUGUAUGAGAAAGAGCAGGUAGAGAUAGGAUCUGGUUGGGCCUAGGGAAGCCUCUAGGAAGUGGUGGCAUGUUACUGGCCUUUGGAAGAUAGGUGGGAUUUCCACAGGGUCCCUGUUUACACUCUGAGCAGAGGGACCAGAAUAAAAAGAGGGUUUCAGCCACACCCUGUGCAGUCUACCUACGUCCCAGUCACCAUGAGCAAGACCGUUAGGGUAUGUGCAAGAGAGACUAGAAAGCUGGUGAGGACGAGAGCCUGAGCACCUCCCUGCUGGGCUUCAUGGAAGGCGAGGGGGACACCACUGUGAUUUCCGAGCGGGAGAGGCAUCUGCGAAAGCCCUCAGUGGAAAUGGGAGAACCGCUGAGAAAAACAAUGCACUGCACCUGCUGAGCACAAAAGGGUCGGGAGGCUUGGGGUAGAACUAGAGGACAAAGGUUUGUUCCAGGGUCUUAGGAUUUGCAACUAGAAAACACAACGAGGCAAUCUCCCGAGUGUUCCGAAGAAGAAAGCAGAGCUGAGAGUUCCAAUAGGAAAAAGUACGCUCUUGAGAACAAUCAGUCCUUCAUUCUUAGCCUCUGGAUUGGCCUGGGACAACAAUCUUCCAGAGGUUCAGUGAUCUGGAUAAUGGCUGUCAGAUGAGCUGGAUGCAUGGACAUUCUUUCCUAUGUUUUUUAUUCUUUCCUAAGUCCUUCAGAAGGCUGUCUGUAGGAAUGUAUUUGUCUCCAGGCAUUGAGGCACAACUGGAAAGUUCAAAAGCUUUCGUCCUCAGGCCUUUUAAUCUUAUCCCUUAUGCUUCAGCCCAUUUGGUCUGAACCAGUUUUGUCAGCUUGACUAUAAACAAUUGAUUUUAAGUCAGCUUAGCUGUACUGACUCCAUGUUGUUUUCUUUCUUUCCUUUUUUUGUUUUGUUUUGUUAAUCCUCACCUGAAGAUACUUUCCCAUUUAUUUCUAGAGAGUGGAAGAGAGAGGGAAAGUCACAGAGAGAAACAUUGAUGUGAGAGAGACACAUUGGUUGCCU
Pipistrellus kuhlii (Kuhl's pipistrelle) is the source of this 2370-nucleotide long non-coding RNA. RefSeq lists it as uncharacterized. The record is from RefSeq and is a predicted model, not a curated record. The transcript is spliced from 3 exons. NCBI's taxonomy places the organism in Eukaryota, Metazoa, Chordata, Mammalia, Chiroptera, Vespertilionidae.